Molecule: ribosomal RNA, 505 nt
Filed under: uncultured bacterium
Lineage: Bacteria
Description: partial 16S ribosomal RNA
Rfam family: Bacterial small subunit ribosomal RNA
Source: RNAcentral
GACGAACGCUGGCGGCGUGCCUAAUACAUGCAAGUAGAACGCACAGGUUAUACCUUAGCUGGCUGCACCAGAGACGGUGAGUUGCGAAAGGGUGAGUAACGCGUAGGUAACCUGCCGGGUAGCGGCGGGUAACUAUGGGAAAUGAUAGCUAAUACCGCAUGCUAUUGAUUGUUGCAUGAUAAUUGAUUGAAGGAGGCGAUUGCAUCACGACCAGAUGGCCCUGCGUUGUAUUAGCUAGUAGGUGAGGUAACGGCUCACCUAGGCGACGAUACAUAGCCGACCUGCGUGGGUGAGUGGCCGCACUGGGAGUGAGACACGGCACAUAGUGACAGAGGAGGCAGCAGUAGGGAUUCGUCGGCAAUGGGCGAAGGUUUGACCGAGAAAGGCGGAGUGAGUAAGGAAGAUUUCCGGAUCGUAGAGCACUGUCGUAAGGGAAGAACGCGUGUGAGCGUGGAAAGAUCAGACUGUGACGGUAACUUGCAAGGAAGGGACGGCUAACUACGUG